RNAcentral lists this unclassified non-coding RNA (208 nucleotides) under Hevea brasiliensis (rubber tree). The record is from RNAcentral. Lineage: Eukaryota; Viridiplantae; Streptophyta; Magnoliopsida; Malpighiales; Euphorbiaceae.
GGAAAAAUGGGAGUGAUGUAGUGUCAUUUACUUUCACCUCACCCAUCAAAAAAUCAAUGCCUGGCCCCACUUCAUCAAGUCAUGUUUUGGAAAAGAACAGUGCUUUGUGUCUUUUUCCAGGUUCCUAUGAUGAUCAGUCUGAUUCAAGGACAUCAACAAUGCCUUCUUUUCGCAUUGGUGGUGAUGAUUUAGGUAUUCUCUUAGAACA